UACGUAGGGGCCAAGCGUUGUCCGGAUUUAUUGGGCGUAAAGAGCUCGUAGGCGGUUGGGUAAGUCGGGUGUGAAAACUCCAGGCUCAACUUGGAGAUGCCACCCGAUACUGCUCUGACUUGAGUUCGGUAGGGGAGUGGGGAAUUCCUGGUGUAGCGGUGAAACGCGCAGAUAUCAGGAGGAACACCGGUGGCGAAGGCGGUUCUCUGGGAAUGUCCUGACGCUGAGGAGCGAAAGUGUGGGGAGCGAACAGG
Molecule: ribosomal RNA, 254 nt
Filed under: uncultured bacterium
Lineage: Bacteria
Description: partial 16S ribosomal RNA
Rfam family: Bacterial small subunit ribosomal RNA
Source: RNAcentral